RNAcentral lists this ribosomal RNA (554 nucleotides) under uncultured bacterium. RNAcentral describes it as "bacterial SSU rRNA". It matches the Rfam family "Archaeal small subunit ribosomal RNA", at positions 725 to 1275 of the family's 1478-position model. The record is from RNAcentral.
AGUAAAUAGAUACCCCGGUAGUCCUAGCCGUAAACGAUACUCGCUAGGUGUCGGCCACGGUGCGACCGUUGUCGGUGCCGUAGGGAAAGCCGUGAAGCGAGCCACCUGGGAAGUACGGCCGCAAGGCUGAAACUUAAAGGAAUUAGCGGGGGAGCACCACAACGGGUGGAGCUUGCGGUUUAAUUGGAUUCAACGCCGGAAAUCUUACCGGGACCGACAGCAACAUGAAGGCCAGGCUGAAGACUUUGCCGGAUUAGCUGAGAGGUGGUGCAUGGCCGUCGUCAGUUCGUACUGUGAAAGCAUCCUGUUAAGUCAGGCAACGAGCGAGACCCACGCCCACAGUUGCCAGCGUACUCUCUGGAGUGACGGGUACACUGUGGGGACCGCCGCUGCUAAAGCGGAGGAAGGAAUGGGCAACGGUAGGUCAGUAUGCCCCGAAUAUCCCGGGCUACACGCGAGCUACAAUGGUUGGUACAAUGGGUAUCUACCCCGAAAGGGGAUGGAAAUCUCCUAAAGCCAAUCUUAGUUCGGAUUGAGGGCUGCAACUCGCCCUC